UACAGAGGUCUCGAGCGUUAGGCGGAAUCACUGGGCUUAAAGCGUGUGUAGGCGGAUUGGUAAGUACCUUGUGAAAUCCCACGGCUUAACCGUGGAACUGCUUGGUAUACUGCCUGUCUUGAGCCAGCUAGGGGCGACCGGAACAAAUGGUGGAGCGGUGAAAUGCGUAGAUAUGUGGAGGAACACCGAUGGCGAAGGCAGCCCCCUGGGUUAACACUGACGCUCAUGCACGAAAGCGUGGGGAGCAAACAGG
RNAcentral lists this ribosomal RNA (253 nucleotides) under uncultured bacterium. Its description in RNAcentral is "partial 16S ribosomal RNA". It matches the Rfam family "Bacterial small subunit ribosomal RNA", at positions 524 to 776 of the family's 1533-position model. The record is from RNAcentral.